RNAcentral lists this ribosomal RNA (460 nucleotides) under uncultured bacterium. RNAcentral describes it as "partial 16S ribosomal RNA". It matches the Rfam family "Bacterial small subunit ribosomal RNA", at positions 338 to 795 of the family's 1533-position model. The record is from RNAcentral.
CCUACGGGGGGCUGCAGUGAGGAAUAUUGGUCAAUGGGCUGACGCCUGAACCAGCCAAGUCGCGUGAGGGAAUACUGCCCUAUGGGUUGUAAACCUCUUUUGUCAGGGAGCAACGCCGUCCACGUGUGGACGGACUGAGAGUACCUGAAGAAAAAGCAUCGGCUAACUCCGUGCCAGCAGCCGCGGUAAUACGGAGGAUGCGAGCGUUAUCCGGAUUUAUUGGGUUUAAAGGGUGCGUAGGCGGAAUGCCAAGUCAGCGGUAAAAUCGCGGGGCUCAACCCCGCUGCGCCGUUGAAACUGGCGUUCUUGAGUGAGCGAGAAGUAUGCGGAAUGCGUGGUGUAGCGGUGAAAUGCAUAGAUAUCACGCAGAACUCCGAUUGCGAAGGCAGCAUACCGGCGCCCAACUGACGCUGAAGCACGAAAGUGUGGGUAUCGAACAGGAUUAGAUACCCUGGUAGUC